This is a microRNA precursor of Oreochromis aureus, 64 nucleotides long. NCBI's taxonomy places the organism in Eukaryota, Metazoa, Chordata, Actinopteri, Cichliformes, Cichlidae. The record is from Ensembl.
AUGAGAAUGAUUGAUUGAUGUGGAUGUCAAGGAUUAUUAACACAUCAAUCAAUCAUUCUCGUUU